RNAcentral lists this ribosomal RNA (253 nucleotides) under uncultured bacterium. RNAcentral describes it as "partial 16S ribosomal RNA". It matches the Rfam family "Bacterial small subunit ribosomal RNA", at positions 524 to 776 of the family's 1533-position model. The record is from RNAcentral.
UACGUAGGGUGCAGGCGUUAAUCGGAAUUACUGGGCGUAAAGCGCUCGCAGGCGGUUUCUUAAGUCAGAUGUGAAAGCCCCGGGCUUAACCUGGGAACUGCGUUUGAAACUGGGAGACUUGAGUGUGGCAGAGGGGGGUGGAAUUCCACGUGUAGCAGUGAAAUGCGUAGAUAUGUGGAGGAACACCGAUGGCGAAGGCAGCCCCCUGGGUUAACACUGACGCUCAUGCACGAAAGCGUGGGGAGCAAACAGG